This 406-nucleotide ribosomal RNA is filed under the name uncultured prokaryote. RNAcentral describes it as "bacterial SSU rRNA". It matches the Rfam family "Bacterial small subunit ribosomal RNA", at positions 355 to 776 of the family's 1533-position model. RNAcentral also lists the same sequence under 1 other name. The record is from RNAcentral.
UGGGGAAUAUUGGGCAAUGGACGCAAGUCUGACCCAGCAACGCCGCGUGAAGGAAGAAGGCUUUCGGGUUGUAAACUUCUUUGACAGGGGAAGAGUAGAAGACGGUACCCUGAAAACAAGCCACGGCUAACUACGUGCCAGCAGCCGCGGUAAUACGUAGGUGGCAAGCGUUGUCCGGAUUUACUGGGUGUAAAGGGCGUGUAGCCGGGAAGGCAAGUCAGAUGUGAAAUCUGGAGGCUCAACCUCCAAACUGCAUUUGAAACUGCUUUUCUUGAGUAUCGGAGAGGUAAUCGGAAUUCCUUGUGUAGCGGUGAAAUGCGUAGAUAUAAGGAAGAACACCAGUGGCGAAGGCGGAUUACUGGACGACAACUGACGGUGAGGCGCGAAAGCGUGGGGAGCAAACAGG